GAGGAGGUCGACGAUGGUGAGGCGGCAGAGGCGACGGCAAUCAACAAAGAGAGCAAGAAGGGAGGGGGCUGGGAGGAGGAGGAGGAGAAUGAGGAUAGAUGAGUUAUCGAAGAGGUGGGUUAGAAUUAGGAAGGCAUGUGAAAAGGAAAAAUGCCCGUACGAGCAGUAUUGGGAGAAGAAUGGGGGGAGGGAGAAGUAGAUGAACAUUUAAUAAAAUGUUACGAUGGGAAAAAAAAUCUAUAGUGCUGCAAAAUA
This 255-nucleotide long non-coding RNA is filed under the name Ananas comosus (pineapple). Its description in RNAcentral is "long non-coding RNA (ACOM_LNC035836)". Lineage: Eukaryota; Viridiplantae; Streptophyta; Magnoliopsida; Poales; Bromeliaceae. The record is from RNAcentral.